CAUCUAGGUAGUCUUUGUUAAUGAUUUGUUUAUCUGUGAAUGCUAGUUAGUUCUUUCAAUUACCUAAUACUUGCUCAUCUAUUCUGUUUUUCAUUCUAGUUGCUAAGUUUCAUAUAUCUUCUUGUUGGUUCUUUCUGAUUCCUAGUACUUGAUAUUAGAAUGAUUCCUCCACAGUCCAUGACAUCUUGUGAUGUAAUGAUGAUCAGUAAGACUUGAGUAAUGAUUUGCAACUGGAGAAAUCGAUUGAAAUGAUUCAUGUAUUUAAAGUCUCAUUUCAGGAUGCUAUUGUGAAGGUGUAAAAAGAUUUGUAUAUGUAUCAGCUGCUGAUUUUGGUCCCGUGAAUUAUAUCCUGCAAGGGUAUUUUGAGGGAAAGGAAUAAUUCUCAAACCGGGUUUCGUAUAUGGAACACGGAAAGUUGGGAGUAUGAAGAUACCUCUAGGACUAAUAGGAUCACCAUUAGAGAAGGUAGAACCCAUCGUCUCUCCAUUUGGACGGCAAGAGAAACUGAAACUUGAACUCACCUAUGUUUUGAGUUGAUCUACAGAUUCUCCAGCAUGCAAAGCCACUAAGUAGCAUCCCAGUUGUUGGUCCCCUCUUGACACCUCCAGUAAAGAAAGAAGAAAAAUUGGCUAUGCCUCAGCAUGGAAUUUGCGACACGGUUCAGACUCCAAUGGUUCUUCUUUGAAAAUCCCUUCUUCUAAGCAACUGAGUAUGAAACCUGUGGAUCCUACUAUGCUCAGUCCACAUUAGACGAGAGCUUACCAAGGAGAGGUUGGCACUAGUAAAGGCUGGGAGAGAGGAUAGAGGGAAGUACCAAGCCAGAGCUGCAGUGAAACAGAGAAAGACUGGUGGCAUGAGCAAUCCGCAAAAGGUGCAAAAAAGAAGAUGCCUCUUGCUGCGAAACCAGCAAAGGUGGCUCGAUCCAGGGAGGAAAAGAAGCAAGAAAAGAGAAUAGGGAAGCAGUUCCGGGGAAGGAUAGCCUCGAAGUGAAGACUAUCAGAUUCUUCUCAUCCCCAUCAAAUGUUUUUUUUCCUUUUGUUGUUGUUGCUUAUUUGGUAGGCAAAUCAAAGGAAAAAAAGAAUUGUAACCUCAAAAAUUUCUUCCGUCUCCUUCCACUUUAUUAUGUAAUGAUUAUUUAAGUUGGCCGAGUAAAUUUUGAGUUGAUUUAUGUAUGAUUUUAUAUAGGUGACACUAUAUAUUCAACUUACAACUAAUUCUGAGGGUGAG
Zingiber officinale is the source of this 1227-nucleotide long non-coding RNA. RefSeq lists it as uncharacterized. Lineage: Eukaryota; Viridiplantae; Streptophyta; Magnoliopsida; Zingiberales; Zingiberaceae. The record is from RefSeq and is a predicted model, not a curated record. The transcript has 6 exons.